UUCAGGGAGACCUACCCUAUUUGAUACCGAAACAAAGUGAAUUAGGUACAGAUAAGGUCAUCCUAAGGUCGUUCGAGGUUGAGGUUGAACUAGAUGGCUUUCAAACUAACUAGGUGAGGGACCGUGGGCUAUUAGCUCAGGUGGUUAGAGCGCACCCCUGAUAAGGGUGAGGUCCCUGGUUCGAGUCCAGGAUGGCCCACCUUAGCAUGGGGGUUUAGCUCAGUUGGUAGAGCGCCUGCUUUGCAAGCAGGAUGUCAGCGGUUCGAGUCCGCUAACCUCCACUGAGAAACGAUUUAGCAACUAGUCUAGUCACAACAACUAGAGAGCCUGCUGGAUUUAGGUCCAGUCAGAACCUUGAAAACUGCAUAGAAACUUGUCAGGUAGGUAGUCUUAGUUCAUUAGCCUUGUUGCUAACGAACCAAGAUGAAUAUCACAGACACCAAUGUAAUUGAUUAAAGU
RNAcentral lists this transfer RNA (459 nucleotides) under Trichocoleus desertorum CMT-1FDIN-NPC12A. Its description in RNAcentral is "16S-23S ribosomal RNA intergenic spacer". The stretch from base 209 to 281 matches the Rfam family "tRNA". Lineage: Bacteria; Bacillati; Cyanobacteriota; Cyanophyceae; Leptolyngbyales; Trichocoleusaceae. The record is from RNAcentral.